GGCCUGGUUUAUCUUCUCCGUCGGCGUGGGUGGGGGUUUGACCGACCGUGUUCAUUCCUCUUCGCGUGCAAGAUUUCGUCUCGAUUCCGGCCGAUUCGCGGUGCCUUUGCUCUUCGAUCUGCCGUUUUCUUUCUUUUUAAUGGCGAAUCUUGCCUAUUCCCGUGCUAAUCACGUCUUUUGUUUCCGCGAUUUAGGUCUGGACGGGCUGCUUCUUUGGUGGGAUCUUCUUCGCAUGUUCAUUCGGCUGGCGCGGCCGGCUGGUUUUCCCCAGGGCUCAGGUAAUCGCUCCUCUUCGUGGCCCUCCUCUUUCACGCCAAACAGCUUGCAACGCCUUCCUAGAGAACCAUAGUUGUUUCCGUAGUACGAUUUGGUGUAGCACCGGCCUGAAGUGAAGAUCCACGCCGCCCGGAAAAAUCAAGAGAGGCAGUCGCGACCAUGACGGUGGCGCAAGCUCGAGGUCGCGUCAAUGGCGGCUCAAACCAAAUUGCGCCAGAUCGGGGAAGUGGCCAUGACGAGCAGCAGUGAACGGCGUGUUCGUGGCGCUUCUUGCCGCCAGAAACACCCUUGCCGACGUCCAGCACCGCCUCGACCUUGAGUUAGGAGAUGAUCGACCUGAUGCGGACCCUCAUGACCGACGAUGACAAGGCCCGGCAAUUUCAAGCAGGAGGCCCCCCGUCUCGCCAAUCCCCCAAUUCCCCAAGCUCAGCUACAGAUUUUGCAAGAGUUCUGAUGGAUUUUGAACAAUUUCUCCCUUGGAAGUCUGUUCUUCCAUUUUCCAGAGUUUUCGGCAGACUUCAAUGAACUUCUAGAUUUUUGUGCCAUGAGGCUGUGAA
Lolium perenne is the source of this 833-nucleotide long non-coding RNA. RefSeq lists it as uncharacterized. Lineage: Eukaryota; Viridiplantae; Streptophyta; Magnoliopsida; Poales; Poaceae. The record is from RefSeq and is a predicted model, not a curated record.